UGUUUUAAAAUGGUUUAUAAAUUUAAUUUGUAAAAUUUAAAUUGUUAUAAUAAAAACUG
This 59-nucleotide transfer RNA is filed under the name Hexamermis agrotis. Its description in RNAcentral is "tRNA-Tyr". The record is from RNAcentral. Lineage: Eukaryota; Metazoa; Nematoda; Enoplea; Mermithida; Mermithidae.